UACGGAGGAUGCAAGCGUUAUCCGGAAUUAUUGGGCGUAAAGCGUCCGUAGGUGGCAAUUCAAGUCUGCUGUUAAAGGUUCUGGCUCAACCAGAGACAGGCAGUGGAAACUGAAUAGCUAGAGUACGGUAGGGGCAGAGGGAAUUCCCGGUGUAGCGGUGAAAUGCGUAGAGAUUGGGAGGAACACCGGUGGCGAAAGCGCUCUGCUGGGCCGUAACUGACACUGAGGGACGAAAGCUAGGGGAGCGAAUGGG
Molecule: ribosomal RNA, 253 nt
Filed under: uncultured bacterium
Lineage: Bacteria
Description: partial 16S ribosomal RNA
Rfam family: Bacterial small subunit ribosomal RNA
Source: RNAcentral